Molecule: ribosomal RNA, 458 nt
Filed under: uncultured bacterium
Lineage: Bacteria
Description: partial 16S ribosomal RNA
Rfam family: Bacterial small subunit ribosomal RNA
Source: RNAcentral
CCUACGGGAGGCAGCAGUGAGGAAUAUUGGUCAAUGGGCGAGAGCCUGAACCAGCCAAGUCGCGUGAGGGAGUACUGCCCUAUGGGUUGUAAACCUCUUUUGUCGGGGAGCAAAAGCCGGACGUGUCCGGCUGUGAGAGUACCCGAAGAAAAAGCAUCGGCUAACUCCGUGCCAGCAGCCGCGGUAUUACGGAGGAUGCGAGCGUUAUCCGGAUGUAAUGGGUUAAAAGGGUGCGCAGGCGGAUUGUUAAGUCAGCGGGCAAAUCGUGGGGCUCAACCCCGUCCAGCCGUUGAAACUGGGGAUCUAGAGUGUGCGAGAGGUAUGCGGAAUGCGUGGUGUAGCGGUGAAAUGCAUAGAUAUCACGCAGAACCCCGAUUGCGAAGGCAGCAUACCGGUGCACAACUGACGCUCAGGCACGAAAGCGUGGGUAUCGAACAGGAUUAGAUACCCGGGUAGUC